This 404-nucleotide ribosomal RNA is filed under the name Fusobacteriota bacterium. Its description in RNAcentral is "Fusobacteria bacterium partial 16S ribosomal RNA". It matches the Rfam family "Bacterial small subunit ribosomal RNA", at positions 355 to 776 of the family's 1533-position model. Lineage: Bacteria; Fusobacteriati; Fusobacteriota. The record is from RNAcentral.
UGGGGAAUAUUGCACAAUGGAGGGAACUCUGAUGCAGCGACGCCGCGUGAGUGAUGAAGGAAUUCGUUUCGUAAAACUCUGUUCUAUGGGAAGAAAAGGACUGUACCAUAGGAGAAAGCUCCGGCUAAAUACGUGCCAGCAGCCGCGGUAAUACGUAUGGAGCGAGCGUUGUCCGGAAUUAUUGGGCGUAAAGGGUGCGCAGGCGGCUUUACAAGUUGGAUGUGAAAUAUUGUGGCUCAACCACAAACGUGCAUCCAAAACUGCAAAGCUUGAGUUAAGGAGAGGUAAGUGGAAUUCCUGGUGUAGCGGUGGAAUGCGUAGAUAUCAGGAGGAAUACCGGUGGCGAAGGCGACUUACUGGCCUUAAACUGACGCUCAGGCACGAAAGCGUGGGGAGCAAACAGG